RNAcentral lists this ribosomal RNA (253 nucleotides) under uncultured bacterium. RNAcentral's name for it is "partial 16S ribosomal RNA". It matches the Rfam family "Bacterial small subunit ribosomal RNA", at positions 524 to 776 of the family's 1533-position model. The record is from RNAcentral.
UACGUAGGUGGCGAGCGUUGUCCGGAUUUACUGGGCGUAAAGAGCGCGCAGGCGGUUUUUUAAGCCAGAUGUGAAAUCCCCGGGCUUAACCUGGGAACUGCGUUUGAAACUACAAGGCUAGAGUGUAGCAGAGGGGGGUGGAAUUCCACGUGUAGCAGUGAAAUGCGUAGAGAUGUGGAGGAACACCGAUGGCGAAGGCAGCCCCCUGGGCUAACACUGACGCUCAGGCACGAAAGCGUGGGGAGCAAACAGG